RNAcentral lists this long non-coding RNA (1757 nucleotides) under Homo sapiens (human). RNAcentral's name for it is "HSALNT0369059". Lineage: Eukaryota; Metazoa; Chordata; Mammalia; Primates; Hominidae. The record is from RNAcentral.
UUCGCUCUCCUUCUCCCUCUCCCUCUCCCUCUCCCUCCCCCUCCCCCUCCCUCUCCCUCUCCCUCUCCCUCUCCCUCCACGGUCUCCCUCUGAUGCCGAGCCAAGGCUGGACGGUACUGCUGCCAUCUCGGCUCACUGCAGCCUCCCUGCCUGAUUCUCCUGCCUCAGCCUGCCGAGUGCCUGCGAUUGCAGGCGCGCACCGCCACGCCUGACUGGUUUUCGUUUUUUUUUGGUGGAGACGGGGUUUCGCUGUGUUGGCCGGGCUGGUCUCCAGCUCCUAGCCGCGAGUGAUCCGCCAGCCUCGGCCUCCCGAGGUGCCGGGAUUGCAGAUGGAGUCUCGUUCACUCAGUGCUCAAUGGUGCCCAGGCUGGAGUGCAGUGGCGUGAUCUCGGCUCGCUGCAACCACCUCCCAGCCGCCUGCCUUGGCCUCCCGGAGAGCCGAGAUUGCAGCCUCUGCCCGGCCGCCACCCCGUCUGGGAAGUGAGGAGCGUCUCUGCUUGGCCACCCAUCGUCUGGGAUGUGAGGAGCCCCUCUGCCUGGCUGCCCAGUCUGGAAAGUGAGGAGCGUCUCUGCCCGGCCGCCAUCCCAUCUGGGAAGCGAGGAGCGCCUCUUCCCCGCCGCCAUCCCAUCUAGGAAGUGAGGAGCGUCUCUGCCCGGCCGCCCAUCGUCUGAGAUGUGGGGAGCACCUCUGCCCCGCCGCCCUGUCUGGGAUGUGAGGAGCGCCUCUGCUGGGCCGCAGCCCUGUCUGGGAGGUGGGGAGCGUCUCUGCCCGGCCGCUCCGUCUGAGAAGUGAGGAAACCCUCUGCCUGGCAACCGCCCCGUCUGAGAAGUGAGGAGCCCCUCCGUCCGGCAACCACCCCGUCUGGGAAGUGAGGAGCGUCUCCGCCCAGCAGCCACCCCGUCCGGGAGGGAGGUGGGGGGGGUCAGCCCCCCGCCCGGCCAGCCGCCCCGUCCGGGAGGGAGGUGGGGGGAUCAGCCCCCCGCCUGGCCAGUCGCCCCGUCCGGGAGGUGAGGGGCGCCUCUGCCCGGCCGCCCCUACUGGAAAGUGAGGAGCCCCUCUGCCCGGCCAGCCGCCCCGUCCGGGAGGGAGGCGGGGGGGGGGGGGUCGGCCAGCCGCCCCGUCCGGGAGGGAGGUGGGGGGGGGUCAGCCCCCCUUCCGGCCGGCCGCCCCGUCCGGGAGGUGAGGGGCGCCUCUGCCCGGCCGCCCCUACUGGGAAGUGAGGACCCCUCUGCCCGGCCAGCCGCCCCGUCCGGGAGGGAGGUGGGGGGGACAGCCCCCGGCCCAGCCAGCCGCCCUAUCCAGGAGGUGAGGGGCGCCUCUGCCCGGCCGUCCCUACUGGGAAGUGAGGAGCCCCUCUGCCUGGCCAGCCGCCCCGUCCGGGAGGGUGGUGGGGGGGUCAGCCCCCCGCCCGGCCAGCCGCCCCAUCCGGGAGGUGAGGGGCGCUUCUGCCCGGCCGCCCCUACUGGGAAGUGAGGAGCCCCUCUGCCCGGCCACGACCCCGUCUGGGAGGUGUGCCCAGCGGCUCAUUGGGGAUGGGCCAUGAUGACAAUGGCGGUUUUGUGGAAUAGAAAGGCGGGAAGGGUGGGGAAAAAAUUGAGAAAUCGGAUGGUUGCCGGGUCUCUGUGGAUAGAAGUAGACAUGGGAGACUUUUCAUUUUGUUCUGUACUAAGAAAAAUUCUUCUGCCUUGGGAUCCUGUUGAUCUGUGACCUUAUCCCCAACCCUGUGCUCUCUGAAACAUGUGCUGUGUCCACUCAG